This 433-nucleotide ribosomal RNA is filed under the name uncultured bacterium. RNAcentral's name for it is "partial 16S ribosomal RNA". It matches the Rfam family "Bacterial small subunit ribosomal RNA", at positions 29 to 507 of the family's 1533-position model. The record is from RNAcentral.
AACGAACGCUGGCGGCAUGCCUAACACAUGCAAGUCGAACGAGACCUUCGGGCCUAGUGGCGCACGGGUGCGUAACGCGUGGGAACCUGCCCUUAGGUUCGGAAUAACUCCCCGAAAGGGGUGCUAAUACCGGAUAAUGUCUUCGGACCAAAGAUUUAUCGCCUUUGGAUGGGCCCGCGUUGGAUUAGCUAGUUGGUAGGGUACAAGCCUGCCAAGGCGACGAUCCAUAGCUGGUCUGAGAGGAUGAUCAGCCACACUGGGACUGAGACACGGCCCAGACUCCUACGGGGAGCAGCAGUGGGGAAUAUUGGACGAUGGGCGAAAGCCUGAUCCAGCAAUGCCGCGUGAGUGAUGAAGGCCUUAGGGUUGUAAAGCUCUUUUACCCGGGAUGAUAAUGACAGUACCGGGAGAAUAAGCUCCGGCUAACUCCGUG